CUUGAUCGAGCCGAGCAGCAGCGCCUCGUGCCCCUCCCGGUCCUGCCCGUAGGUGGCGAGCAGCGCCUGCGCCUC
Molecule: antisense RNA, 75 nt
Filed under: Micromonospora peucetia
Lineage: Bacteria; Bacillati; Actinomycetota; Actinomycetes; Micromonosporales; Micromonosporaceae
Description: ASpks TB sRNA
Rfam family: ASpks TB sRNA
Source: RNAcentral